CACCGCGGUUAUACGAGAGGCCCAAGUUAACAGACACCGGCGUAAAGAGUGGUCAAGGGCACAACUAACUAAAGCCGAACAUCCCCCUGGCUGUUAUACGCACUCGAAGGAAUGAAGUUCAAUUACGAAAGUGGCUUUAUAUACACCUGACCCACGACAGCUAAGAAA
RNAcentral lists this ribosomal RNA (168 nucleotides) under Polyipnus polli. RNAcentral's name for it is "partial small subunit ribosomal RNA". Lineage: Eukaryota; Metazoa; Chordata; Actinopteri; Stomiiformes; Sternoptychidae. The record is from RNAcentral.